Molecule: ribosomal RNA, 478 nt
Filed under: uncultured bacterium
Lineage: Bacteria
Description: partial 16S ribosomal RNA
Rfam family: Bacterial small subunit ribosomal RNA
Source: RNAcentral
GACGAACGCUGGCGGCGUGCUUAACACAUGCAAGUCGAACGGUAAGGCCCUUCGGGGUACACGAGUGGCGAACGGGUGAGUAACACGUGGGUGAUCUGCCUUGCACUUCGGGAUAAGCCUGGGAAACUGGGUCUAAUACCGGAUAGAACCACUGCCUGCAUGGGUGGUGGUGGAAAGCUUUUGCGGUGUGGGAUGGGCCCGCGGCCUAUCAGCUUGUUGGUGGGGUGAUGGCCUACCAAGGCGACGACGGGUAGCCGGCCUGAGAGGGUGACCGGCCACACUGGGACUGGGAUACGGCCCAGACUCCUACGGGAGGCAGCAGUGGGGAAUAUUGCACAAUGGGCGCAAGCCUGAUGCAGCGACGCCGCGUGAGGGAUGACGGCCUUCGGGUUGUAAACCUCUUUCAGCACCGACGAAGCGCAAGUGACGGUAGGUGCAGAAGAAGGACCGGCCAACUACGUGCCAGCCGCCGCCGUAA